AGAUGCAAGUCGAGCGGUAGAGAGAAGCUUGCUUCUCUUGAGAGCGGCGGACGGGUGAGUAAUGCCUAGGAAUCUGCCAGGUAGUGGGGGAUAACGUUCGGAAACGGACGCUAAUACCGCAUACGUCCUACGGGAGAAAGCAGGGGACCUUCGGGCCUUGCGCUAUCAGAUGAGCCUAGGUCGGAUUAGCUAGUUGGUGAGGUAAUGGCUCACCAAGGCUACGAUCCGUAACUGGUCUGAGAGGAUGAUCAGUCACACUGGAACUGAGACACGGUCCAGACUCCUACGGGAGGCAGCAGUGGGGAAUAUUGGACAAUGGGCGAAAGCCUGAUCCAGCCAUGCCGCGUGUGUGAAGAAGGUCUUCGGAUUGUAAAGCACUUUAAGUUGGGAGGAAGGGCAGUAAAUUAAUACUUUGCUGUUUUGACGUUACCGACAGAAUAAGCACCGGCUAACUCUGUGCCAGCAGCCGCGGUAAUACAGAGGGUGCAAGCGUUAAUCGGAAUUACUGGGCGUAAAGCGCGCGUAGGUGGUUUGUUAAGUUGGAUGUGAAAUCCCCGGGCUCAACCUGGGAACUGCAUUCAAAACUGACUGACUAGAGUAUGGUAGAGGGUGGUGGAAUUUCCUGUGUAGCGGUGAAAUGCGUAGAUAUAGGAAGGAACACCAGUGGCGAAGGCGACCACCUGGACUAAUACUGACACUGAGGUGCGAAAG
Molecule: ribosomal RNA, 711 nt
Filed under: Pseudomonas sp. GOBB3-106
Lineage: Bacteria; Pseudomonadati; Pseudomonadota; Gammaproteobacteria; Pseudomonadales; Pseudomonadaceae
Description: bacterial SSU rRNA
Rfam family: Bacterial small subunit ribosomal RNA
Source: RNAcentral